Long non-coding RNA from Oncorhynchus keta (chum salmon), 1314 nucleotides. RefSeq lists it as uncharacterized. The record is from RefSeq and is a predicted model, not a curated record. The transcript has 4 exons. Lineage: Eukaryota; Metazoa; Chordata; Actinopteri; Salmoniformes; Salmonidae.
UCAUACCAGUACUUAAAAAGCCUGGUUCGGAACCCCGACAACCUCUAGAACGACAGGCCCAUCUUCAACCUGCCACUUCUGAGUAAGCUUAUCGAACGUGCUGUGUAUAGCCAACUUUAACUCCAUCUGGCCACUCACAACCUACUCGAGCCCUUCCAGCUGGGCAUCAAAGCUGGACACAGCUCACGAAUGCCCGUCUCAUGAAUGUCCGACUCAUGAAUGACGACUCAUGAAUGACGACUCAUGAAUGACGACUCAUGAAUGACGACUCAUGAAUGACGACUCAUGAAUGACGACUCAUGAAUGACGACUCAUGAAUGACGACUCAUGAAUGACGACUCUGGGGCUGCCAGCACCCUCAUAGUGCUGGACCUCAACGCGGCAUUCAAGACACUGUCAGGGCUGGAGAGUCUCCGGGCUCGUUUAAGGCACAUGCUAAAGACUGAGCUGUUCAGAAAAGCUUUCAAAGACCUAUGUUAAUUCUGUUCCCCUGACGACACCUGUAUAUAGCUUUGAUUGUGGUCUGCUUACAAUGUUCUGCGUUUCUGAUUGUUAUCAUUUUAUUUUGGAAUAUUUUCUUCAGCGUCAUAGGUGAGAAAAGCACUUUACAUUAAGUAUUAUUAGUGUGUAUCUCAGUGAACCCUAGCCAGAGGUAAAGGGGUGUAUCAGUCAACCCUAGCCAGAGGUAAAGGGGUGUAUCAGUCAACCCUAGCCAGAGGUAAAGGGGUGUAUCAGUCAACCCUAGCCAGAGGUAAAGGGGUGUAUCAGUCAACCCUAGCCAGAGGUAAAGGGGUGUAUCAGUCAACCCUAGCCAGAGGUAAAGGGGUGUAUCAGUCAACCCUAGCCAGAGGUAAAGGGGUGUAUCAGUGAACCCCAGACAGAGGUAAAGGGGUGUAUCAGUGAACCCCAGACAGAGGUAAAGGGGUGUAUCAGUGAACCCUAGCCAGAGGUAAAGGGGUGUAGUGUGUAUCAGUGAACCCUAGACAGAGGUAAAGGGGUGUAGUGUGUAUCAGUGAACCCUAGACAGAGGUAAAGGGGUGUAGUGUGUAUCAGUGAACCCUAGACAGAGGUAAAGGGGUGUAGUGUGUAUCAGUGAACCCUAGACAGAGGUAAAUGGGUGUUGUGUGUAUCAGUGAACCCUAGACAGAGGUAAAGGGGUGUAGUGUGUAUCAGUGAACCCUAGACAGAGGUAAAGGGGUGUAGUGUGUAUCAGUGAACCCUAGACAGAGGUAAAUGGGUGUAGUGUGUAUCAGUGAACCCUAGACAGAGGUAAAGGGGUGUAGUGUGUAUCAGUGAACCCUAGACAGAGGUAAA